GAUGAACGCUGGCGGCGUGCCUAAUACAUGCAAGUCGAGCGAACGGACGAGAAGCUUGCUUCUCUGAUGUUAGCGGCGGACGGGUGAGUAACACGUGGAUAACCUACCUAUAAGACUGGGAUAACUUCGGGAAACCGGAGCUAAUACCGGAUAAUAUUUUGAACCGCAUGGUUCAAAAGUGAAAGACGGUCUUGCUGUCACUUAUAGAUGGAUCCGCGCUGCAUUAGCUAGUUGGUAAGGUAACGGCUUACCAAGGCAACGAUGCAUAGCCGACCUGAGAGGGUGAUCGGCCACACUGGAACUGAGACACGGUCCAGACUCCUACGGGAGGCAGCAGUAGGGAAUCUUCCGCAAUGGGCGAAAGCCUGACGGAGCAACGCCGCGUGAGUGAUGAAGGUCUUCGGAUCGUAAAACUCUGUUAUUAGGGAAGAACAUAUGUGUAAGUAACUGUGCACAUCUUGACGGUACCUAAUCAGAAAGCCACGGCUAACUACGUGCCAGCAGCCGCGGUAAUACGUAGGUGGCAAGCGUUAUCCGGAAUUAUUGGGCGUAAAGCGCGCGUAGCGGUUUUUUAAGUCUGAUGUGAAAGCCCACGGCUCAACCGUGGAGGGUCAUUGGAAACUGGAAAACUUGAGUGCAGAAGAGGAAAGUGGAAUUCCAUGUGUAGCGGUGAAAUGCGUAGAGAUAUGGAGGAACACCAGUGGCGAAGGCGACUUUCUGGUCUGUAACUGACGCUGAUGUGCGAAAGCGUGGGGAUCAAACAGGAUUAGAUACCCUGGUAGUCCACGCCGUAAACGAUGAGUGCUAAGUGUUAGGGGGUUUCCGCCCCUUAGUGCUGCAGCUAACGCAUUAAGCACUCCGCCUGGGGAGUACGACCGCAAGGUUGAAACUCAAAGGAAUUGACGGGGACCCGCACAAGCGGUGGAGCAUGUGGUUUAAUUCGAAGCAACGCGAAGAACCUUACCAAAUCUUGACAUCCUUUGACAACUCUAGAGAUAGAGCUUUCCCCUUCGGGGGACAAAGUGACAGGUGGUGCAUGGUUGUCGUCAGCUCGUGUCGUGAGAUGUUGGGUUAAGUCCCGCAACGAGCGCAACCCUUAAGCUUAGUUGCCAUCAUUAAGUUGGGCACUCUAAGUUGACUGCCGGUGACAAACCGGAGGAAGGUGGGGAUGACGUCAAAUCAUCAUGCCCCUUAUGAUUUGGGCUACACACGUGCUACAAUGGACAAUACAAAGGGCAGCGAAACCGCGAGGUCAAGCAAAUCCCAUAAAGUUGUUCUCAGUUCGGAUUGUAGUCUGCAACUCGACUACAUGAAGCUGGAAUCGCUAGUAAUCGUAGAUCAGCAUGCUACGGUGAAUACGUUCCCGGGUCU
RNAcentral lists this ribosomal RNA (1371 nucleotides) under uncultured bacterium. RNAcentral's name for it is "bacterial SSU rRNA". It matches the Rfam family "Bacterial small subunit ribosomal RNA", at positions 28 to 1381 of the family's 1533-position model. The record is from RNAcentral.